This 459-nucleotide ribosomal RNA is filed under the name uncultured bacterium. RNAcentral describes it as "partial 16S ribosomal RNA". It matches the Rfam family "Bacterial small subunit ribosomal RNA", at positions 338 to 795 of the family's 1533-position model. The record is from RNAcentral.
CCUACGGGAGGCAGCAGUGAGGAAUAUUGGUCAAUGGGCGGAAGCCUGAACCAGCCAAGUAGCGUGCGGGAUGAAGGCCCUACGGGUCGUAAACCGCUUUUGCACGGGGAUAACACCCUCCACUUGUGGAGGUCUGCAGGUACCGUGCGAAUAAGGGCCGGCUAAUUCCGUGCCAGCAGCCGCGGUAAUACGGAAGGCCCGAGCGUUAUCCGGUUUUAUUGGGGUUAAAGGGAGCGUAGGCGGGCGUUCAAGUCCGCUGUAAAAUCGCGGGGCUAAACCGCGCCCCGCAGUUGAAACUGGGCGCCUUGAGUUCACAACAGGCAGGCGGAAUUCGUGGUGUAGCGGUGAAAUGCAUAGAUAUCACGCAGAACCCCGAUUGCGAAGGCAGCGCGCCGGCGCCCGACUGACGCUGAGGCACGAAAGCGUGGGUAUCGAACAGGAUUAGAUACCCCGGUAGUC